Long non-coding RNA from Spea bombifrons (plains spadefoot toad), 517 nucleotides. RefSeq lists it as uncharacterized. The record is from RefSeq and is a predicted model, not a curated record. Lineage: Eukaryota; Metazoa; Chordata; Amphibia; Anura; Pelobatidae. The transcript has 3 exons.
ACCUCUCAGUUCCUAUGCUUCCUGUCUGAUGUUUUGGUCACUUUUGAAUUCUGGUGGUGCUUUCACUCUGGUGGUAGCAUGAGACGGAGUCUACAACCCACACAAGUGGCUCAGGUAGUGCAGCUCAUCCAGGAUGGCACAUCAAUGCGAGCUGUGGCAAGAAGGUUUGCUGUGUCUGUCAGCGUGGGGGUUGUGCUUACAGCCCAACACCGUGCAGGACGUUUGGCAUUUGCCAGAGAACACCAGGAUUGGCAUAUUCGCCACUGGCGCCCUGUGCUCUUCAAAGAUGAAAGCAGGUUCACACUGAGCACAUGUGACAGACGUAGCCUGACUGCCAUUAGGUACCGAGAUGAGAUCCUCAGACCCCUUGUGAGACCAUAUGCUGGUGCAGUUGGCCCUGGGUUCCUCCUAAUGCAAGACAAUGCUAGACCUCAUGUGGCUGGAUUGUGUCAGCAGUUCCUGCAAGAGGAAGGCAUUGAUGCUAUGGACUGGCCCGCCCGUUCCCCAGACCUGAAUC